UACGUAGGGGGCAAGCGUUGUCCGGAAUUAUUGGGCGUAAAGAGCUCGUAGGCGGUUUGUCACGUCUGCUGUGAAAUCCCGAGGCUCAACCUCGGGCCUGCAGUGGGUACGGGCAGACUGGAGUGCGGUAGGGGAGAAUGGAAUUCCUGGUGUAGCGGUGGAAUGCGCAGAUAUCAGGAGGAACACCGAUGGCGAAGGCAGUUCUCUGGGCCGUAACUGACGCUGAGGAGCGAAAGCGUGGGGAGCGAACAGG
Molecule: ribosomal RNA, 253 nt
Filed under: uncultured bacterium
Lineage: Bacteria
Description: partial 16S ribosomal RNA
Rfam family: Bacterial small subunit ribosomal RNA
Source: RNAcentral